Molecule: non-coding RNA, 207 nt
Organism: Oryza glumipatula
Lineage: Eukaryota; Viridiplantae; Streptophyta; Magnoliopsida; Poales; Poaceae
Source: Rfam
AAUAAGCACCGCUGUAGGUUUUAGUCUCCAACUUUAUCAAUCCGUUUUAUUUAAAAUAUUUUUUAUGAUUAGUAUUUUCAUUGUUAUAAGAUGGUAGAAUAUUAAUAGUACUUUAUAUUUGACUUAACUUUUAAAAUUUUUUUAUAAAUUUUUUAAAUAAGACGGACGAUCAAACGUUGGGUAUGAAAAUUUAUGAGUGCACUUAUA